CCGCACAAGCAGCGGAGCGUGUUGGUUUAAUUCGAUGCAACGCGAAGAACCUUACCAGGGUUUGACAUGCUUAAAGUAGGAACUCGAAAGAGGGACGACCUGUAUCCAGUCAGGAGUUUGCACAGGUGCUGCAUGGCUGUCGUCAGCUCGUGCCGUGAGGUGUUAGGUUAAGUCCUGCAACGAGCGCAACCCUCGUCGCUAGUUGUUUUCUCUAGCGAUACUGCCCGUAUAACGUGGAGGAAGGUGGGGAUGACGUCAAGUCAGCAUGGCCCUUACAUCCUGGGCUACACACACGCUACAAUGGGUGAUACAACAGGUUGCAAUAGAGUAAUCUGGAGCCAAUCCCUAAAAUCAUCCUCAGUACGGAUUGCAGGCUGCAACUGCCUGCAUGAAGUUGGAGUUGCUAGUAAACGCAGGUCAGCACGCUGCGUUGAAUACGUUCUCGGGCCUU
This 451-nucleotide ribosomal RNA is filed under the name uncultured Chloroflexota bacterium. RNAcentral's name for it is "bacterial SSU rRNA". It matches the Rfam family "Bacterial small subunit ribosomal RNA", at positions 921 to 1382 of the family's 1533-position model. Lineage: Bacteria; Bacillati; Chloroflexota. The record is from RNAcentral.